AUGGAGGCGCGGUGCGCGCGGCCGUCGCACGUCCACCAGCUCCACGCUCACCUCCUGGUCUCCGGCCGCCUCCUCGGCGGCUCGCCGGCGCUUGCGCUCCUGCUUUUGCGCGCUGCCUGCGGCGUCCGUGCGUCCCCGUGCCUCCGUCCCCUCGCCCACCACCUGCUCGACCACGUUCCCCACCCGCCCCCGCACCUUCUCCACGCCGCCUCCCGCCUUGCGUUCCGCCUCCGCCUGACCUCCCUAGCGCUCGGCCACUACCUCGCUCUCCGCGCGGAGCACCCGGCUUUCCUCCCGCCCACCCCUGCCAUUGGCGAUGUGCUCAAGUCUGUCCCUGGCCGCGCAGCCCAUGCCCAUGCGUUACGUCUCACUGACGGAGACACGCGAUUCCUGCACAAUUCACUCAUCGCCAUGUACUUUUCCUGCGGGGAUGCCGGCCGUGCUCGUCGUGUGUUCGAGGGAAUGCGUGACUGCGACAGGGACGUUGUCUCCUGGACCUCUCUCAUCUCCGGGCUCGUGCAAAAUCACAGUCCCUUGGAAGCGUUACGGCUGUUUGCAGCGAUGAUGUGCUGUGAUGUCCGUCCUGAUUUUGUGCCGGUUGUCACAGUCCUCAAGGCGUACAUGGAGCUCAAUGACUUGCCAGGUGCCAAAUCAGCUCAUUCCUUGGUAGUCAAGGGUGGCUUUGAUGAUGAACAAGAUGUUGUGACCACACUGACGGCCAUGUAUGCCAAGUUUGGCUGCAUCAUGGCUGCAAGGGCACUCUUCGACAGGAUCCCGCCCCCACGGGUGAAUGUGAUCCUGUGGAAUGCCAUGAUAUCGGGUUACUCCAAGAACGGGCUUGCCAGCGAGGCAGUGUAUUUGUUCAAGCAGAUGCAGGUGUUUGCAAGGAGCAUGAGCCCUGAUUCUGUCACGUUGCGGUCGGUGAUCAUGGCCUGUGCUCAGCUCGGCUCCACCGAGCUCGCAGUAUGGAUGGAGGAUUAUGUACGCCGUAGUGAGUGCAGGGAGGAUGUUCUCGUGAACACAGCGUUGAUUGACAUGUAUGCCAAGUCAGGGAGCAUUGCCCAUGCGCGCAGAGUCUUUGAACAGAUGCGUGUGCAUGAGCGGGAUGUGGUAGUCUGGAGUGCAUUGAUCUCAGGUUACGGGGUGCACGGCCAUCUUGCUGAGGCCAUAGGCCUGUUUGAGGACAUGAAGCUCGCAGGGGUGAAACCGAAUGAUGUGACUUUCUUGGGGCUUUUGUCAGCGUGCAACCAUGCGGGCGCUGUGGAGAAAGGGUGGUUCUACUUUCAUUCCAUGAAACCUGACCACAAGAUCGAGCCUCGGCACCAACACUAUGCUUGUGUGGUCGACCUGCUUGCUCGUGCUGGUCAGCUUGACAGAGCAUAUCGAUUUAUACUUGACAUGCCCAUCAAACCAGAGAUGAGUGUAUGGGGUGCCUUACUUCACGGUUGCAAGAUGCACGAGCACUCAAACAUGGCCAUGGCUGAGAGGGCAGCACAGCACAUCUUUGAGUUGGAGCAGUCCAACGCGGGGCAUUAUGUGCAGCUGGCAAACAUGUAUGCGUCUGCAGGGAUGUGGAGCCAUGUUGCUGGUGUACGGGUCACCAUGAGAGAGAGGGGUGUCACCAAAGCAACUGGAUGCAGCUCCAUCGAGGUCGAUGGAAAGAUGCACAACUUCCAUGCCUGGGAUCACUCGCAUCCAAGGGCCGCUGAGAUUUUCGCCUUACUCUGCCUUCUUUCUCAAAGUCCAACUGGCCAUGAAAUGGGGCAUGCCAGCUGUUGA
Molecule: ribosomal RNA, 1779 nt
Filed under: Triticum aestivum (bread wheat)
Lineage: Eukaryota; Viridiplantae; Streptophyta; Magnoliopsida; Poales; Poaceae
Description: partial small subunit ribosomal RNA
Source: RNAcentral